GCCUGGGUAGCCCAAUCUCGGUAGAGGCUGCCGGCUCAGACCCGGUACGUUGGGGGUUCGAGUCCCUCCCCAGGCACCA
Molecule: transfer RNA, 79 nt
Filed under: Myxococcales bacterium
Lineage: Bacteria; Pseudomonadati; Myxococcota; Myxococcia; Myxococcales
Description: tRNA-Leu
Rfam family: tRNA
About the family: Transfer RNA (tRNA) molecules are approximately 80 nucleotides in length.
Source: RNAcentral